AAACCAGUUGAUUCUUGAUUAAUAAGAGACACCCUAAUAGAACCCAUUGGCAUUGGCUUGCUUCAUUCAAGAAGGAUGGGUCUAAACCAGUUGUGGGUGUCUGUGGUGAUGCUUUUAUUUUUACAAGGGGCAUGGUGCUGUGAUUGUUGUUGGGAGGAUGAGAGAAUUGCUCUGCUCAAGCUUAAAGCUUACUUCAAUUAUCCUAAUGGCAAUGCCAUGUCUUCUUGGGAGAAAAUUCCCAACUGUUUUUAUUGGGAAUAUGUUGCGUGCAGCCCCAUUACAAGGCGAGUAACAUCACUUUAUCCUUGGAGAGAUGGGAGAUUGGGAGAUUGGUAUCUCAAUACCUCCUUUUUUCUUCCAUUCAAAGAAUUAAAUGAUCUUUCCUUGGAGCAAAUUAACAUUCUGGGUUGUGUUAAGAAUGAAGGUUCAUCUCUUGCAUAGUAUUAGUUAUCUUGUAAAUUUCAGUUAAUUUUGUAAUUUAUUUGUUCUGACCGAAACUACUAGCUGGAACUCUUUUACAGGUUUUGAAAGAUUAUGGAGCCUUGGGAAUUUGGAGUCUCUUGAUUUAAGCUUCAACAAAUUCAACAACAGUAUCCUGCCAUCUUUAAGUGGUCUUUCAUCUUUAAAAUCAUUAACUCUAGACAACAAUAGACUGAAAGGAAAAAUUAAUAUUCAAGGCGAGUUCCACUUCCUCCCAUCCUUCUCUAAAGUGAAAUCAUAUUCUUCAAAACAUUUAUGUAUUUCAUUUUAUCAUUGCUUUUGUGUAGAAUUGAAUAAUCUAACAAGCUUGAAGGAGUUGAAUUUACAAGGCAAUGAAAUUGAAGGUUUAAAAUCCUCUCAUGGUUUGAGGAAUCUGGAGCUCCUUGAUCUGAGUUAUAAUCGCCUUAACAAUAGCAUGCUUUCAUCUCUCAAGAGACUUUCAUCUCUCAAAUCUCUGAACCUAGAAUAUAAUUUACUCGAAGGAAAACUUAACGUGGAAGAAUUGGGUGCUUUGAGCAACUUAGAGGAGCUACAUUUGAGCGGAAAUCAGAUCAUCAAGUUUGAGGCCUUGAGAGGUCUAAGCAAGCUAAGAAAAUUAAUUUUGAACAACAUGACCACAAACGAAAGAAGCCCUUCACUGCUUCAUAGCUUGGGAGCAUUUCCGUACCUCAAGACCCUCCAUCUACAAUACAAUAAUUUCCAUGAAAAAAUAUUUGCUCAAGAGUCAGAGAAUUUCACCAACUUGGAAGAGUUGUUCCUAGACUCAUCUUCUUUGAAUGAAGAGUCCCUUCGAAGUCUUGGAGCAUUGCCUUCUCUUAAACUUUUGUCGUUGGGUUCAUUAAGAGACAACCUACCCCAUCAAGGAUUGCCUAGUUUCAAGAAGCUGGAACAUUUAUACUUGGAUUUUUCUACCAUUAAAAACAACGUCCUGCAUACUAUUUCAAAAAUGAUCUCUCUCAAGACUUUAUCAUUGGUGUAUUGUGGAAUCAGUGGCACCAUACCAGCAACCCAAGGCAUAUGCGAGUUGAAACAUCUCCAAAUGCUUGAUGUCAGCUAUAAUGAUCUCAGUGGUACGUUGCCUUGGUGUCUAGCAAAUCUUACAUCCCUUCAACGAUUGUAUCUCAUUUCUAAUCAUUUUACGGGAAAAAUCUUUCCGGUCGGGGGUUUGACAUCCAUCCAAGAAUUAAAACUUUCGGGCAAUCACUUUCAAAUACCGAUUUCACUUAGUCCAUUUUUCAACCAUACAAGGCUCAAGCAUUUGCAGGGCGAGGAUAAUGAAGUAUAUACAGAAUUAGAGGUGCAAAACUUGAUCCCAAAAUUCCAAUUAGAGACUCUUGUUUUACCUUGUCUUGGCUAUGGCGGAGCAUUUCCCAAGUUUCUCUACCAUCAGCAUAACUUACGAGUUGUUGAUCUCUCACAUAUUAAAAUGAAGGGGGGCUUUCCAUUUUGGUUGUUGGAUAAUAACACAAACCUAGAAGAGCUUUCUUUAGCCAAUAAUUCUCUUUCAGGGCCUCUCCAGCUGCCAAGUCAUCUUCAUAUGCGUUUGUCAAACUUAGACAUCUCCAAUAAUGGCUUCCAUGGGCACAUUCCAAUGGCAAUUGGAGCAUCUUUCCCAAUGUUACUAAAUUUGAAAAUGUCUAGAAAUGGUUUUAGCGGUAGCAUUCCCUCAUCACUUAGUAAUAUUAGCUUCUUAGAAGUUUUGCAAUUGGAUGGAAAUCGGUUUUCAGGAUGUAUCCCUGAUAACUUAUAUAAGUGCUCUUAUUUGGAGAUGUUGGAUGUUAGUGAUAAUCAUCUAUCUUGUAGGAUCCCGGGAUCAAUGAGUAAUGUGUCUUCUCUCAAAGUUUUAGACCUUUCAAGGAACAAUAUUUUUGGAAGUCUACCAUCAUACAUUAACCCUUCUAGCUUGGUACUUGUUUACUUAUCUUAUAAUAGGCUACAAGGGUCAAUAAAAAAUGCAUUUUAUGGCUGCUCUGAUUUAAUAACAUUAGAUCUUAGCCAUAAUUUUUUGACCGGGACCAUUCCGGAAAUGAUUGGUAGUCUUUCUAUGUUGGGCUAUCUUUUCUUGAGUUAUAAUAACCUUGAAGGUGAAAUUCCAAAGCAUUUAUGCAAUUUGGACCUAUUAAGGUUGAUUGAUUUAUCUCAUAAUAAUUUUUCUGGUCCAAUCCUUCCUUGCCUAAGAUGUACUGGGGGUUCUGAUGUUAUAAAUCCAGAAACUGAUGAUGACCGACAACCUUUAGAGUUUACAAUAAAAUGGAGGACAUAUUCUUACCAGGGAAAAAUUCUCAGUAUGUUUUCUGGAAUAGAUCUUUCGCACAACAAACUGAGUGGAGAAAUUCCUCCUGAAAUUGGAGCACUUAGCGGGAUUCAAGUGUUGAACCUUUCCCACAACAAUUUGACAGGACCAAUUCCACCAACAUUCUCAAACCUAAGUGAAAUUGAAAGCUUGGAUCUAUCUUACAACAACUUGGAUGGGAAAAUUCCUCCUCAGCUUAUACAACUAACUUCUCUAGCUGUCUUUAGUGUAGCAAAUAAUAACUUAUCUGGAUCAACACCUAAGAGAGUUGCACAAUUUGCAACUUUUGAUGAGAGUAGUUAUGAGGGAAAUCCUUUCCUUUGUGGACUGCCACUUUCAAUGAGUUGCAGUGCAGCAAUAUCACCAUCACCAUCGCCGAGAGUUUCAACUGUUGAUGAAGCGGAGAGUGGCUUCAUAGACAUGGAUGUUUUCAACGUGAGCUUUGUGGUGGCUUACAUCAUAAUAUUGUUGACAAUAGCUGCAGUUUUGUGGAUAAACCCAUAUUGGCGACAAGCAUGGUUUUACUUUAUUGAGGUGAGCUUCACCAAAUGCCAAUAUUUUCUGGAAGACAAUGUUUAUGUGCUUUUCAAGUUCAGGGUGUGACUGCUAUAUUUUGUUUCUUGUGCAAUUAUGUUGAAUCUUUAUAUAUGAUUUUGCUUUUUAAGUUGGCGAUUAAGUAAAUCCUUUUAAUGGCCAAUCGAAAACAAAAGUCAUGUAAUAUUUAAUGUAUGAGCUCUUGUUGCAAUGAAAUGUAGCUUGUCUUUCAUCUUUG
Molecule: unclassified non-coding RNA, 3545 nt
Filed under: Hevea brasiliensis (rubber tree)
Lineage: Eukaryota; Viridiplantae; Streptophyta; Magnoliopsida; Malpighiales; Euphorbiaceae
Source: RNAcentral